GAUUGAACGCUGGCGGCAUGCCUUACACAUGCAAGUCGCAUUGUAACAGGUCUUCGGACGCUGACGAGUGGCGAACGGGUGAGUAAUACAUCGGAACGUGCCCAGUCGUGGGGGAUAACUACUCGAAGGAGUAGCUAAUACCGCAUACGAUCUGAGGAUGAAAGCGGGGGACCUUCGGGCCUCGCGCGAUUGGAGCGGCCGAUGGCAGAUUAGGUAGUUGGUGGGAUAAAAGCUUACCAAGCCGACGAUCUGUAGCUGGUCUGAGAGGACGACCAGCCACACUGGGACUGAGACACGGCCCAGACUCCUACGGGAGGCAGCAGUGGGGAAUUUUGGACAAUGGGCGAAAGCCUGAUCCAGCAAUGCCGCGUGCAGGAUGAAGGCCUUCGGGUUGUAAACUGCUUUUGUACGGAACGAAAAAGCUUCUCCUAAUACGAGAGGCCCAUGACGGUACCGUAAGAAUAAGCACCGGCUAACUACGUGCCAGCAGCCGCGGUAAUACGUAGGGUGCGAGCGUUAAUCGGAAUUACUGGGCGUAAAGCGUGCGCAGGCGGUUAUGUAAGACAGAUGUGAAAUCCCCGGGCUCAACCUGGGAACUGCAUUUGUGACUGCAUGGCUAGAGUACGGUAGAGGGGGAUGGAAUUCCGCGUGUAGCAGUGAAAUGCGUAGAUAUGC
This 675-nucleotide ribosomal RNA is filed under the name uncultured organism. RNAcentral's name for it is "SSU rRNA". It matches the Rfam family "Bacterial small subunit ribosomal RNA", at positions 27 to 699 of the family's 1533-position model. The record is from RNAcentral.